CGCGCAGGCGGUCGUCCAAGUCGCGUGUGAAAGCCCCCGGCUCAACUGGGGAGGGUCACGCGAUACUGGUCGACUCGAAGGCAGGAGAGGGUAGUGGAAUUCCCGGUGUAGUGGUGAAAUGCGUAGAUAUCGGGAGGAACACCAGUGGCGAAGGCGACUACCUGGCCUGUUCUUGACGCUGAGGCGCGAAAGCUAGGGGAGCAAACG
This 207-nucleotide ribosomal RNA is filed under the name uncultured bacterium. RNAcentral's name for it is "partial 16S ribosomal RNA". It matches the Rfam family "Bacterial small subunit ribosomal RNA", at positions 568 to 774 of the family's 1533-position model. The record is from RNAcentral.